AUAAUCUAAUCGCUGAAUUUCCGUCAAGGAAAGCGGGGGAACCGAAUGGUGAAGCUGCUUUGGUGUGAGAGCCGGAGCAAGCGUCACCUGGGGUGAAUCCCGAAGCAGAGCGUCAGGGAGUCUCUGUUUUGGGUAGGGCGUCUCUCACCGCCCGAAUCCGUCAGCUAACCUCGUAAGCGUCUGUGGGGAGGGUGA
Molecule: small RNA, 195 nt
Filed under: Bacillus thermozeamaize
Lineage: Bacteria; Bacillati; Bacillota; Bacilli; Caryophanales; Bacillaceae
Description: c-di-AMP sequence
Rfam family: c-di-AMP riboswitch aptamer (ydaO/yuaA leader)
About the family: This family represents a conserved RNA structure found upstream of the ydaO and yuaA genes in Bacillus subtilis and related genes in other bacteria. The ydaO/yuaA element is thought to act as a genetic "off" switch for the ydaO and yuaA genes in its native state.
Source: RNAcentral